Crocodylus porosus (Australian saltwater crocodile) is the source of this 136-nucleotide small nucleolar RNA. Ensembl annotates it as small nucleolar RNA, H/ACA box 56. Its record names the gene SNORA56. The record is from Ensembl. Lineage: Eukaryota; Metazoa; Chordata; Crocodylia; Crocodylidae.
AUGCAGACAGUUAUCCCUUUCUAGCCUGAUACUUGUGGCUCUAGAGGGAGUCAGUCUGCUAAAUCAAGCAGGGGAAUCUCAGCCUUUAUCCAGCACAGCUGAGUGCUGAUGCAGACUUCAGGCUUCCCAUACACCA